GUCUAUGGCCAUGCCACCCUGAACAAGCCCAAUGUCUGAUCUCGGAAGCUAAGCACGGUCGGGCCUGGUUAGUACUUGGAUGGAGACAGCACCUAGGAAGACCAGGUGCUGUAGGCA
This 117-nucleotide ribosomal RNA is filed under the name Pteropus alecto (black flying fox). The record is from RNAcentral. Lineage: Eukaryota; Metazoa; Chordata; Mammalia; Chiroptera; Pteropodidae.